GUGCCAGCAGCCGCGGUAAUACGGGGGGGGCAAGCGUUGUUCGGAAUUACUGGGCGUAAAGGGCGUGUAGGCGGCUUGGUAAGUCAGUUGUGAAAGCCCCAGGCUCAACUUGGGAAUUGCAACUGAAACUGCCUGGCUAGAGUUCAGGAGAGGAGAGCGGAACUCCCAGUGUAGCGGUGAAAUGCGUAGAUAUUGGGAGGAACACCGGUGGCGAAGGCGGCUCUCUGGACUGAAACUGACGCUGAGGCGCGAAAGCUAGGGGAGCAAACGGGAUUAGAUACCCCGGUAGUCCUAGCCGUAAACGAUGGGCACUGGGUGUUGGAGGUAUUGAGUCCUCCAGUGCCGAAGUUAACACAUUAAGUGCCCCGCCUGGGGAGUACGGUCGCAAGACUGAAACUCAAAGGAAUUGACGGGGGCCCGCACAAGCGGUGGAGCAUGUGGUUCAAUUCGACGCAACGCGAAGAACCUUACCGGGGCUCGAACGGCGCAUGAAACUCCUUGAAAGGGGAGCGUGCCUUCGGGUACAUGUGCCGAGGUGCUGCAUGGCUGUCGUCAGCUCGUGUCGUGAGAUGUUGGGUUAAGUCCCGCAACGAGCGCAACCCUUACCCUUAGUUGCCAGCGGAUAAUGCCGGGCACUCUAGGGGAACUGCCGGCGAAAAGCCGGAGGAAGGUGGGGAUGACGUCAAGUCCUCAUGGCCUUUAUGUCCCGGGCUACACACGUGCUACAAUGGAUGGUACAGAGGGUUGCCAAACCGCGAGGUGGAGCUAAUCCCAAAAAGCCGUCCUCAGUUCGGAUUGCAGUCUGCAACUCGACUGCAUGAAGUUGGAAUCGCUAGUAAUCGCGGAUCAGCAUGCCGCGGUGAAUACGUUCCCGGGCCUUGUACACACCGCCCGUCACAUCACGAAAGUGGGUUGUACUAGAAAUCGCCGGGCUAACCCGCAAGGGGGGCAGGCGCUUAAGGUAUGAUUCAUGAUUGGGGUGAAGUCGUAACAAGGUAACC
Molecule: ribosomal RNA, 1001 nt
Filed under: uncultured bacterium
Lineage: Bacteria
Description: bacterial SSU rRNA
Rfam family: Bacterial small subunit ribosomal RNA
Source: RNAcentral